Acanthosepion pharaonis is the source of this 101-nucleotide non-coding RNA. Lineage: Eukaryota; Metazoa; Mollusca; Cephalopoda; Sepiida; Sepiidae. The record is from the annotation of a GenBank genome assembly.
UAAUGUUGAAACACUGGUUCCUGUACAAUCAAUGAAGUUAAGCAACAUCAAACCUGGUCAGUACCUAGAUAGGUGACCGCUUGGGAAUACCAGGUGGUGUA